AAGUCGAACGGUAGCACAGAGAGCUUGCUCUCGGGUGACGAGUGGCGGACGGGUGAGUAAUGUCUGGGAAACUGCCUGAUGGAGGGGGAUAACUACUGGAAACGGUAGCUAAUACCGCAUAACGUCGCAAGACCAAAGAGGGGGACCUUCGGGCCUCUUGCCAUCAGAUGUGCCCAGAUGGGAUUAGCUAGUAGGUGGGGUAACGGCUCACCUAGGCGACGAUCCCUAGCUGGUCUGAGAGGAUGACCAGCCACACUGGAACUGAGACACGGUCCAGACUCCUACGGGAGGCAGCAGUGGGGAAUAUUGCACAAUGGGCGCAAGCCUGAUGCAGCCAUGCCGCGUGUAUGAAGAAGGCCUUCGGGUUGUAAAGUACUUUCAGCGGGGAGGAAGGUGUUGCGGUUAAUAACCGCAGCAAUUGACGUUACCCGCAGAAGAAGCACCGGCUAACUCCGUGCCAGCAGCCGCGGUAAUACGGAGGGUGCAAGCGUUAAUCGGAAUUACUGGGCGUAAAGCGCACGCAGGCGGUCUGUCAAGUCGGAUGUGAAAUCCCCGGGCUCAACCUGGGAACUGCAUUCGAAACUGGCAGGCUAGAGUCUUGUAGAGGGGGGUAGAAUUCCAGGUGUAGCGGUGAAAUGCGUAGAGAUCUGGAGGAUACCGGUGGCGAAGGCGGCCCCCUGGACAAAGACUGACGCUCAGGUGCGAAAGCGUGGGGAGCAAACAGG
Molecule: ribosomal RNA, 725 nt
Filed under: uncultured Enterobacterales bacterium
Lineage: Bacteria; Pseudomonadati; Pseudomonadota; Gammaproteobacteria; Enterobacterales
Description: bacterial SSU rRNA
Rfam family: Bacterial small subunit ribosomal RNA
Source: RNAcentral